Long non-coding RNA from Herpailurus yagouaroundi (jaguarundi), 334 nucleotides. RefSeq lists it as uncharacterized. NCBI's taxonomy places the organism in Eukaryota, Metazoa, Chordata, Mammalia, Carnivora, Felidae. The record is from RefSeq and is a predicted model, not a curated record. The transcript has 2 exons.
UCUCUCAAAAUAAAUAAACAUUAAAAAAAAUAAAAAGGUAAAACUUAACCCUGAAUCAAGAGUAGAUUUCAGGCCGGGGAAGGUGAGGGGGCGGGGUCCACCACAAACAACCCUGACCUACUUAACUGUUCUGCCUGCCACCUGUCCUGCCCCAGGCACAAGGCACUCUCCAAGAGGCAGUUCUCACCUGACUGGAUUUCUGGGCCCGGUGCCUGCACCAGGAAACAGCUUUUGAGGACCUCUGGGAGCCAAGGAAAGCACUUGUAGCUUGAAGAGUGAAAACAUAAAUAGAAUGUGACCCUAACUUGAAAAACAUGAAUUCGAUCGCUUCUCA